Molecule: transfer RNA, 73 nt
Filed under: Camponotus floridanus (Florida carpenter ant)
Lineage: Eukaryota; Metazoa; Arthropoda; Insecta; Hymenoptera; Formicidae
Rfam family: tRNA
About the family: Transfer RNA (tRNA) molecules are approximately 80 nucleotides in length.
Source: Rfam by way of RNAcentral
GUCUGGAUAGCUCGGUAAUCUAGAGCAAUUGCCCGGAAAGCUAAAAACUCGGGAUCGAUUCCCGAUCCAGCCA